Molecule: ribosomal RNA, 883 nt
Filed under: Anisakis simplex (herring worm)
Lineage: Eukaryota; Metazoa; Nematoda; Chromadorea; Rhabditida; Anisakidae
Description: eukaryotic LSU rRNA
Rfam family: 5.8S ribosomal RNA (bases 366-519)
Source: RNAcentral
GUCUCCCAACGUGCAUACCUUCCAUUUGCAUGUUGUUGUGAGCCACAUGGAAACUCGUACACACGUGGUGGCAGCCGUCUGCUGUGCUUUUUUUAGGCAGACAAUGGCUUACGAGUGGCCGUGUGCUUGUUGAACAACGGUGACCAAUUUGGCGUCUACGCCGUAUCUAGCUUCUGCCUGGACCGUCAGUUGCGAUGAAAGAUGCGGAGAAAGUUCCUUUGUUUUGGCUGCUAAUCAUCAUUGAUGAGCAGUAGCUUAAGGCAGAGUUGAGCAGACUUAAUGAGCCACGCUAGGUGGCCGCCAAAACCCAAAACACAACCGGUCUAUUUGACAUUGUUAUUUCAUUGUAUGUGUUGAAAAUGUACAAAUCUUGGCGGUGGAUCACUCGGUUCGUGGAUCGAUGAAGAACGCAGCCAGCUGCGAUAAAUAGUGCGAAUUGCAGACACAUUGAGCACUAAGAAUUCGAACGCACAUUGCGCUAUCGGGUUCAUUCCCGAUGGCACGUCUGGCUGAGGGUCGAAUUACGGUGAACUGUCUUCACGGUUUUUCUGGACUGUGAAGCAUUCGGCAAGCAAUUGCUGUUGUGUUGUUGGUGAUUCUAUCAUGGACAAUAUGACGAGCGGUUCCUUGCUUAGUGAUGACAAAAGAAGACGUCAACACCGAAUCUACUAUACUACUAAUACUAGUAUAUAGGUGAGGUGCUUUUGGUGGUCACAAAAGUGACAAGUAUGCCAUUUCAUAGGGGCAACAACCAGCAUACGUGAUAAGUUGGCUGGUUGAUGAAACGGCAACGGAAUGACGGACGUCUAUGUGAUCAAAAAUGAUACUAUUUGACCUCAGCUCAGUCGUGAUUACCCGCUGAAUUUAAGCAUAUAAUUAAGCG